This 484-nucleotide ribosomal RNA is filed under the name uncultured bacterium. RNAcentral's name for it is "bacterial SSU rRNA". It matches the Rfam family "Bacterial small subunit ribosomal RNA", at positions 29 to 489 of the family's 1533-position model. The record is from RNAcentral.
AACUAACGCUGGCGGCGUGCCUAACACAUGCAAGUCGUACGAGAAAGCCGGCUUCGGCUGGUGAGUAAAGUGGCGCACGGGUGAGUAACGCGUGGAUAAUCUGCCCUUAAGUGUGGAAUAACGUACCGAAAGGUGCGCUAAUACCGCAUAAUGCCUGGCAACACAAGUUGUCCGGCCAAAGAAGGCCUCUGUUUACAAGCUUUCGCUUCAGGAUGAGUCCGCGUACCAUUAGCUUGUUGGUGGGGUAAUGGCCUACCAAGGCUGCGAUGGUUAGCUGGUCUGAGAGGAUGAUCAGCCACACUGGAACUGAGACACGGUCCAGACUCCUACGGGAGGCAGCAGCUAAGAAUAUUCCGCAAUGGACGAAAGUCUGACGGAGCGACGCCGCGUGGAUGAAGAAGGCCGAAAGGUUGUAAAGUUCUUUUGCUAGGGGAGAAUAAGUGAGGGAGGGAAUGCCCUCAUGAUGACAAGGACUAGCGAAUAA